AUUUCAGCAGUUCAGUUCAGUUCAGUUCGGGUCGGGUUUGCAAUUCAACAGCACUGCGAAAACGGAUCAAAUAAAAUCAAAAUAUUCGAACGAAUAAUUUACACUCAGUAAAGGCAAACACAACAAUAAGCCACAUCGGAGUAAUAUCGACUAUAGAAUUCUCUCACUAUAUAGUAUAUGGUACAGAGUAUAUAUCCGCCAUAUAUAUGAGAAUUGGCUAAAAGGAAAGCAACAACAACAACAAAAUAAAACGUUGCACAGUUAGCCAACGGCAAGUGCAGCACGUAAGUUGCAACAAUUUCGGGGCACAAGUAGAAGACAUUGUAAGUGCGAGCACAGCGUUGCCAGAUUGCCAACAACAAUAGCCCCAAACCAAAAAAACAACUGCCAGAACAACAACAACAACAUACUCAAGCGGACAGUCAAUUUGGGCAGCUGAGACGCCAGGUGGCGCUGCUGUUGCGCUGGCAUGCACAUCCAAAGCAACAGUUAAAAAGAAGAAAGUAAAAGCCAAGCAAGUAGAAGAAGAAGAAGAAGCAGAGUAAUCAGCCGAAAGAGUUCGUGCCGCUGGAAAUCCUGUCGCUAAUUAGUUCUCGUAACAUGGGCUGCGCCUUUGAAGCAGCCAAAGAGCAGCCCAAGCAGAGAACAAAACAACCAAAUAGAAAUCAAUGUGCUGCCCCAACAACAACAAUAACAACAGCAGCCACACUAGGAAGUACAACAACUACAACAACAACGUCAACGACAACGACAACAAUACUCGUAGUAGCAGCUGAGAGCAGAGAAACAGAGGACAUACAAAUCAAGGAUAACUAUCAACAAAAUCAUAAAACGCAAA
Molecule: RNA transcript, 838 nt
Organism: Drosophila innubila
Lineage: Eukaryota; Metazoa; Arthropoda; Insecta; Diptera; Drosophilidae
Gene name: probable basic-leucine zipper transcription factor P
Exons: 3
Source: RefSeq, a predicted model, not a curated record